ACACAGCCUUAUUUCAAAGGCAAAGCAGACUACAGAGCCAUCCAGUUUUAUCAUGUGCCAAGAGACAGAGAGAACUAGGAUAGUGGUGAGUGGCUCUAAGAAAACCACUUAAAGAGGCAGAAGAGUCUUGGAGAGCUGGGUAGUUUAGAGCCUUGAAUUCAGGGGUCAUUCCUUUGGAGCCUGUAGUUCUAUCCACAAACCCAUGCCUGGUUUCAGAAUGUUUGUACAUAAGGCAGAGCUUUGGGUUUUAUACAGAAGUAAGAAAAAUAAAUGUCAAAGCAUCAUUUGUCAAUGGCACAGAAUAGAAUGUGAAUCAUGACUGAUGAUCAAUAUUAUGAUAAUGUGCUCAAAUAAAGCGGUAACACAUUCCAAUCUUGUUGGCUUUUGAGAAUUACUGUUCCCAGAUAUUAAAAAAAUCCAGACCCAUCUUAUAUGUAGCAAAGACAUUUGUGUGAAUGUGUGUGCCUAUGCAUAUAGUAAACACAUAUUUAUGUGUAUUUGGCUGAUAGGUUGAUGAGUGUAUUAAUGGAUUUCACUUCAUUUUUAUUUAUUUAUUUGUACAUAUAUGUGUUCAUGAGAGUGUUUUAUGGACAUCACAUGUAUUCAUAGGCCAGAGGAGGCGGGAGAAGGUCUUAGAUCCGCAGGAACUUGAAUUCCUAGAGCUUAAGUUACAGGAGGUUAUGUGCUAUCAUGUGGGUGCUGGCAACCAAACAUGCCCUCUGCAAGAAGAGUAAGUACCCUUAGCUGUUGAGCCGUCUUCCAGCCCCAGUAGAUUUGAUAUUUGAACAUUCACGAAGACCUAGCAUAUUGUCUCAUUUGAUAGAAGCAAUGGAUCACAUCCAGGAACACUUGCUCAGUUUAAACAUCUCCUUCCUCUCUCACUUCCUCUUGCUCACCUCUACCUGCAUCUUGCUCGCCUGUCACAUGGACCUCAAGAAUGGUGGUUUAGCAAUCACGUGUCCCUGCUACACUUGGCAUCUACCUCACCCUCCCUCUGUCAUGCUGGCAUAGUCUCCAUGGCAACCCCAGGCUGCUCCACAGGCAGCUGGCCAUGCUGGAUAGCUGAUGCUGGCUGGCAGAAGCGAUCAAAGAGUGAGGGGGCCUUGAAGAGCCAUGGAAAAAGCUUCUGGUGAAAUUGUAACGACUGAAUUGGGGAAAAAAUGUUAUUAAUUUGAGCUAGUCCAGCUCAUGGUGAGGUUCCCAGGGGAGACCCAUCUACCAUCUGCAUCUUGCAAAUAAUAGUAUUCCCAAAUCUCCAUGCUUCUUCCAUGGUGGGUUUACUUUGUUUUUAUAUAUAUGGAUGGCAGAUUGAACACUGAGCAAGGGCCAGUGGCUGUUCUGGGCUGUUGCCACUUCCUUAGUGUACACACUUCAGAGUCAUUUGAAUCACUUCUUCUUUGUAUAAGGUCUGGACUACAGAACAGCCUCAAACAUUUGCUGGUCCUGUGUCCUUUGGGCAUUGGUCCUCAAGAUGGGAGGCAAGUUUCAGAAAAAACUGCCAGUUCUUUGCGCUCUCUUCAACCUUGCUUGCUUGACUGACCUUUCUCCAAGGAGCCCAUCCCAGAGACAAGCUAACAAAUGCUUACAAGAAAUGGCACAACGUGGUGAAGAUUGAGAGCAAAGAGCGGUGGGGAGACACUGUUUGGGGACUGCGUCCAAGGACAAUGUACAGUAGUUAUAUUGCAGCUUAUAGUAAAUUCCCUGCAUCCAUUUGUUGCUCUGGGCCUCUCAGUGGAUAGCGCUGUUGUUUUUCAAAACAAAGCGAAGUGCAAUUAGAAAAGAUUUAUCAUUGAUCAUGUCUCUUACUGCUUCUAAAACUCAUUCCUUUUUGCAUACCCAUUUGUGAAACUGUUGGUUAUAGUACACUGAACUUUUAAAAAGAUAAAGCUUGAAUAUAAGGUAAUUAAUUGUUUCAUUAUUUCUUCUCUUAUAAUAUUCCGUUUGUUAAUCUCAAUAUCAGAAAACACUAAUUUUGCUUAAUAUUCUGUGGUGCUUAAAAUAUUUCCAGUUAUUAGGUGAAUAGAUGUGUGUGAAUACCAAAUAUGUAUAAAAUAAUAUAUAAUAUGUAUAUGGAACUUGUCUAUAAUUUGUAAGUGACUUUUCUUUUACUUGUACUGUGGAAAUUUCUCUAAAGCGAAAUAAGGGAUAUUCGUAAUCAUUGUUUCAAUGUUUGGUUAUGCUGUUUGACUUACAAAUAAUUGACAUUAUCAAACAGACCUUAAUGUUAUGAUAAUGACAAUAAACAGAUUAUCAUUGAAUGUGAGGAGUAUUGUUUCCAUAGAUUAAAUGGUUACAUGAAGUAAAUGUUUCACAACAAAUGACUUCAGAGUUACAGGCUGAGCAUCUCUAAGGAUAUUCAAAUAUUGAUAAUAAUGGUAAUUGAUAAAUAUAUCUCAAAAGGUUUUACGAGUUAAAUCUGAUUUGCAGUACUAAUUCAAAAGUUUUAAAAGUAACUUUGAGAUACCACAAAGGCUUGUAGAAACCAUGUACCGUAAUUUCCAUCAGAAAGGAAAUAUAACUCAAAGAACAUACCUUCUCAGUACUGACAUGUGACAGUAUUUAGUGUAUGUACUGGACAGGAAAAAUGUCUGAUGAAUAAUGAGUCAUGUGCUUAUCUGAAGGCAUAUGGGAAAAAGAAAAAUAUGAACAAAUGAAGAAAAGCAGGGGCAACUGGCCAUUGCCAAUACCUGUGCUGUUAUCAUUCCUAAGAACCUAGAAAUGGUUUAAAAAUUAAGAAAAAAAAUCAGUUACAAGUCACUUCAGGAUUUGCAACAGAGAGAAUUUAAAGGAGCAUGUUGGAUACACAGCUGAUAGGAAAGCCCAGAAGCCAAAAGAGAGGAUGUAGAACUUAGUUAGGACCUAAUCUAAGAGGAACUUUGCCUCCUUUAGCUUCUAUCACUGGUACUCACAUGGGGCCAUAUUGAGGUCCCCACCACCAGUUUCCUCUCUAGUAAUCCUGUUGGUCAUAAGCAGGCAGAAGCGUUAUUUGAAUCUCAUUACAGACAGAAGAGAUGGUCCUCAACUCCAGUCCUACAUUGCUGAGGCUCUGGGUCUCCAGAACAUUAGGUGUGCUAACAGAGAAAUGAUGGCCAAGAAGACACUAGAGGGCAGUCCCCAUAAUCUACCAGCUACCCAGGAACAUCACGGGGGCUGUGUAGCUGCCAGCUCAGAGUUUGAGGAAGGCAGAGAUGAGAAGACAAUAGGGGUGUGGCUCUCUGUUCUUCCAAGUGGAUAAAGUCAAUUAGAAUCCCGUUGACACAAAACCACAGAGAUCUGCCUACAUGGCAGUCCCAUGAUAGGGGGAAAACCUUGGAAGGGGAAGGUGUGGAAGUGAGGAAUGUAGAGAGACAGACCAGCUAACACUUCCAAUCAAUGUCUAAAAUAUGACAAAUUCCAAAAUUAUGCACAAUCAACAACUCAGUAUACUGGAAAAUUAAGAAAAUAUUCUCAACUCGAAUUGAACCCUAAAUUGUGGUACUGUUUUGAUCAUGAUUUACAUAUAUACUUAAAUAGUUUCCUUAGCCUCGACCAUUGAAACCAGAAAAAUAUGUAAGAAGCAAAUGACUGAAAGGAAACCAAUAACUUAAAAGCUAUUAGCUGAUUAGUUGGAUAUUUAUAUACAACUCUGAAGAAAAUUAUUAAAAUUACAUAAAACUAAAUUUUUAAAAAUUAUAAAUUCAUUAGUAAAAUUAUAUAAAACUCUGAAGGAGGAUUAUAAAAACUAAAAAUGAAACAGAAAAUUUCCUGAUCUUAAUAAUACAGUGUUAGUUGUUAAUUUUUUUAGAGUUUGACUUAUAUUUAAGAUGACUAUAUAAUAAUGAAGUUUAAAAAUAUUCAUAAUUUGAAUAUUAAACUGCAAGAGAAAUGAGUUAGAAACCACAGGGAGAGUAUAGAUCAGAAUAGAGCUCUGCUUUAGCACACAAUCUGUAACAUUAUUAAGUGCCCAGAAAUAUCUGGUAUGGUUCUCCCCAUAUUUAGUGAUUUAUUUUAGUUGUAUUUAGGUAUAUUUGGUGAAUAUAACUGUGUUGAACUAUUUUUUGAAAUGAAAACUUUUAUUUAUUCUUUUCUCAUACGAUACAUCUUAGCCACAGCUUCCCCUCCCUCUACUCCUCUGAUUUCUCCCCACAUCCUCUCUCUCCCACAUGGUUCCCACCUGAGCCAUGCCCCAGUCUUCCCCCAGAACAGAGCAUACCUCCCAGGGACAUUAACUGAACGUGGCACAACAAAGUUCAAUAAGACUAGGCACAAACCCUCAUAUCAAGGCCGGAUGAAGCAACCCAGUAGGAGAAAAAGGGUCCUGAGAACACGCAAAAGAGUCAGAGACAUCCCCACUGUCAGAACAUCAAGCCAGCAACCAUAGAUAGAUAGAUAGAUAGAUAGAUAGAUAGAUAGAUAGAUAGAUAGAUAGAUAGAUAGAUGUUAUUUGAUUAUGUUGACCUGUCAUGAUAUGAAAAUGUAAAGCUUGUGUACAUUUCACUACUUUAUCUGCUUAAUUUAUCACCAAGGGUGUUCUUUAUAUAACUGUGUUGAAGCAAAGAAAGCUAUGUCAGAGAACCAGCCUUUGAGGUCUUACAUCAUUAUAGACCUAUCAGAAUCUAUCCAUUGCCAUGGUGUUAGCACCUUGGGCUACUGUAGCAAAACAUGAUGGAACACAUUCUGGUGUCUGUUCUUCUUGUAAGGACACCAACCACAUGACAAGACCCCUAAGUUUGUAAAAUUCUGUAAACCUAACUUCCUUCUCUCAAACCCUAUCUGUCAGUAUCACCACACUGGGAGUUCAAUGUGAUCCUUGAACCUGGGGAAGAGGAGUCACAUGCAGCCCACUUUAGUCACUGGUCCCAGGGUCGAAAAUGCUUUCCAGCACUCACUCUUCUUUCUAGGCAAGAAAGUUUUGAAUAGCAUUAUACGUUCUUAGACUAACAGCCAUAAGAAGUGGUGGGUAUGUUUGCAUGAAUCUAACCAUGAAUUACGGAGUUAGGAAGCAAGACCUGAGGCUGUGGGCAAGGGAAAUAAUUUCAGGUUGAAGAACUGAAUACAAUAAUAGACUAAUAGCUAGUCUGGAUCUAAGAUUUGAAACCCAAAAGAACACAGGUUUCUCCCAGAAUGAUUCAACAAAGUGGAAACCUUUGUUUGUGAAAGAAUAAGGCUUUUGUACUUUUAUAC
RNAcentral lists this long non-coding RNA (5163 nucleotides) under Mus musculus (house mouse). RNAcentral's name for it is "long non-coding RNA chr15:30191102-30196265". Lineage: Eukaryota; Metazoa; Chordata; Mammalia; Rodentia; Muridae. The record is from RNAcentral.